Molecule: ribosomal RNA, 253 nt
Filed under: uncultured bacterium
Lineage: Bacteria
Description: partial 16S ribosomal RNA
Rfam family: Bacterial small subunit ribosomal RNA
Source: RNAcentral
UACGGAGGGUGCAAGCGUUAUCCGGAUUCACUGGGUUUAAAGGGUGCGUAGGUGGGUUGGUAAGUCAGUGGUGAAAUCUUCGGGCUUAACCCGGAAACUGCCAUUGAUACUAUUUAUCUUGAAUACUUUGGAGGUAAGCGGAAUAUGUCAUGUAGCGGUGAAAUGCUUAGAUAUGACAUAGAACACCAAUUGCGAAGGCAGCUUACUACACAGUUAUUGACACUGAGGCACGAAAGCGUGGGGAUCAAACAGG